AGCGAACGCUGGCGGCAGGCCUAACACAUGCAAGUCGAACGAACCUUUCGGGGUUAGUGGCGGACGGGUGCGUAACACGUGGGAACGUGCCUUUAGGUUCGGAAUAACUCAGGGAAACGUGUGCUAAUACCGAAUGUGCCCUUCGGGGGAAAGAUUAAUCGCCUUUAGAGCGGCCCGCGUUUGAUUAGCUAGUUGGUUGAGGUAAUGGCUCACCAAGGCGACGAUCAGUAGCUGGUCUGAGAGGAUGAUCAGCCACAUUGGGACUGAGACACGGCCCAAACUCCUACGGGAGGCAGCAGUGGGGAAUCUUGCGCAAUGGGCGAAAGCCUGACGCAGCCAUGCCGCGUGAAUGAUGAAGGUCUUAGGAUUGUAAAAUUCUUUCACCGGGGACGAUAAUGACGGUACCCGGAGAAGAAGCCCCGGCUAACUUCGUG
Molecule: ribosomal RNA, 434 nt
Filed under: uncultured bacterium
Lineage: Bacteria
Description: partial 16S ribosomal RNA
Rfam family: Bacterial small subunit ribosomal RNA
Source: RNAcentral